Molecule: non-coding RNA, 23 nt
Filed under: Arabidopsis thaliana (thale cress)
Lineage: Eukaryota; Viridiplantae; Streptophyta; Magnoliopsida; Brassicales; Brassicaceae
Source: RNAcentral
GGCCGGCACCGGAAUUGGUUGAG